Molecule: ribosomal RNA, 448 nt
Filed under: uncultured bacterium
Lineage: Bacteria
Description: bacterial SSU rRNA
Rfam family: Bacterial small subunit ribosomal RNA
Source: RNAcentral
UGGGGAAUCUUGCGCAAUGGGCGAAAGCCUGACGCAGCGACGCCGCGUGCGGGAAGAAGGCCUUCGGGUUGUAAACCGCUUUCAGGAGGGACGAAGCCACUCGGGUUAAUAGCCCAGAGGGUGACGGUACCUCCAGAAGAAGCCCCGGCUAACUACGUGCCAGCAGCCGCGGUAAUACGUAGGGGGCGAGCGUUGUCCGGAUUUAUUGGGCGUAAAGCGCGUGUAGGCGGCUAGGUAGGUCCGCUGUGAAAACUUGAGGCUCAACCUCAAGAGGUCGGUGGAAACCAUCUAGCUAGAGUCCGGAAGAGGAGAGUGGAAUUCCUGGUGUAGCGGUGAAAUGCGCAGAUAUCAGGAAGAACACCCGUGGCGAAGGCGGCUCUCUGGGACGGUACUGACGCUGAGACGCGAAAGCGUGGGGAGCGAACAGGAUUAGAUACCCCCGUAGUCC